Molecule: small nucleolar RNA, 133 nt
Organism: Perognathus longimembris pacificus (Pacific pocket mouse)
Lineage: Eukaryota; Metazoa; Chordata; Mammalia; Rodentia; Heteromyidae
Source: RefSeq, a predicted model, not a curated record
UCGCAAACUCGAUCACUAGCUCUGCAUAAUGUAGCAGAAGCUAAGGGAACCAGGUUUGCUAAAGUAAUUGUGGUGAUGGGAACAUAUUUGCCUCAAAAGCUACUGAGGUGGCUCCUCUCAUCCUAGAACAGAA